AUGGAGGUGUGCCAGGACCAGGGUACUCAGAAGGGUGGGAAGCUCACAGACCACCUUGCUUUGAGUGCCUCUCAGCCGCUCUCUUGCUCUGUGAUUUUAAGGAAGUCCUUGAACCUCUCUGAGCCUGCUUUUUCCAUCUGCAGAUCGGUGAUAAUGAAACCUACCUUGCUGUUUCACGUUGAGGAAUCACUGCGGGAAGGGAAGUCCCUGCAUGGGCACUGCCAGCUUCUGCCUCUAUGCUUUUUCCUGAACCUUCUCCACCUCUGGAAUGUACUUCAGAGUCUUAAGAGCCCAAGGCCAUGUGAGCCAAUACCAGUACGCAUUCUCAGCUCAUGGAGGAGACAGACACUGAAGCUGCACGGAAGCAUGGCGGGGGAGGCCUCAGGAAACUGACAAUCAUCAGUGGAAGAUGAAGAAGGAGGAGGUGCAUCUUACAUGGCCAGAGAAGGAGGAAGAGAAAGAGGGGGGAAGUGCUACACCCUUCUAAACAACUAGAUCAUGCGAGAACUCACUGUCAUGAGAAUAGCAAGGGGAAAAUUUGUCCCCAGGAUCCAGUCACCUCCCAUCAGGCCCUCCUCCAACACUGGGAAUUGCAAUUUGCCAUGCGAUUUGGAUGGGGACACAGAGCUAAACCAUAUCAGUAGGUGACUAGUUAGUCAUUUUUUUCUUUUACACAAAAGCUAGUGUUGACAUAAAUUAUCAUAGCAUCAAAGAUACCUAGAGAUAAACCAAUUAAAAAUAUGCACAGGAUAUCAAUGUCAGGUCUAAAUAUUAUUGAAAGAAAUUGAAGAAGACCUAAAUAAAUUUAAAAAUACAUCACUUUUAUGAACUGGAAGGAUCUCAUCUCUGUAAAUAAGUCAAACCUCUCCAAAUUGAUCUACAGAAUCAAUAUAAUGCCAAUCUAAAUCCCAGGAAGGUGUUUUGAGGAAAUUGACAGGCUGAUUCGAAAACUAAUAUAGAUAUGUCAAGUCUUAACAGUAACAGAGACAAUCUUGAAGAAAAAUGAAAUGGGAGGAUAUCAUGACUCACUUUUAAAAGUGAACCAAGUAAAACAGAGUGGCAUUGGUCAUGGGAUAGAAAAAUGGACCAAUAAAAAGAAAUGAAAAUCUGGAAACAGAUCCAUGCAUAUAUGUAUACUUGAAUUGAUUUAUGACAUAGGGAAUCAUGGGGAAAGGAUAAUCCCUUAAUAAAUGACACUGGUUCAAUUACAUAUUCAUAUGGAAAAAAAUCUUGAUCCCUACCGCACACUAUACACAAAUAUCAAUUCCAAAUGUGAAAGGCAAAACAAUAAAUCUUCUGGAGGGUUUGGCAAACUUUUUCUGUAAAGAGUCAGAGAAUAAACAUUCUGGGCUUUGUGUGCCAUAAGGUCUGUUGUAGCACAAAAGUAGUCAUGGGUGAUGUGUAAAUGAAUGAGCAUGACUGUAUCCCAAUAAAACUUUAUUUACAAAAACAGCUGGCAGAAUGGAUUUGGAUCACAGUCCAUAGUUUGCCAACCCCUGUUCUAGAAGUUAACAUGGGUGAAUAUCUUUAUGAUCUUGGAAGAAGAUUUUUAAAUAGUCACAAAAUGUCCUAAUCACAAAGGCAAAGAUAUGUUGCGGUCCUUUAAUUUUAAGAUGUUCUGUUCACCCCAAAAUACCACUAAAGUACUGAAGAGGCAAUCGAUAUAGUGGGAGAAAUUAUUUGCAACACAUAUAACGCAUGUCCAAAAUAUAUAAAAACUACAAAUCAAUAAGGAAGACAAAUAACACAAUGCCAUGUUCAGACACUUCACCAAAGGUAGCCAAAUUGCCAAUUAACAUUUUCAAAGGUACUCAACUUUAUCAGUCUUCAGGAAAAUAAAAAUUAAAAACACAAUGACAUGCCACUACACACCUACUGGAAUGAUCAUAAUUUAAAAGCCUGACAAUACCAAAUGUUAGCAAGGAUUUUGAACAUACACACUGUUGAUGGAAGCGUACAUUGGCACAUUUCCACUUUGGAAAACUCUUUGGCAAGUUUCCUCUAACGCUGAGUACUAUAUGCAUACUUUCUGACUCAGCAAUUCCACUUGCAGAUACGUACUCCCACAGAAAUAUACACAAAAGACAUGUAUAAGAAUGUUCGUGGCAGCAUUAUUCAUAAUAACCUCAAAUUUUAAACAACCUAAAUAACCAUUAAAUGGACAGUUGAAUGGGUAAAUAACUCAUAGUAUAUUUAUAGAAUGGAAAACUAUUCAGCAAUAAAAAUACAUGAACUCCUUUUACAUGCAAAUCUACUGAAACUUUCAAAUGUAACAGUAAGUGAAAGUAGCCAGAACUGAAAGAACACAGAAUGUUUGAUUCUAAUUAUAUGUGGCUCAAAUACAAAUAUAAGUAAAACUAACCCAUGGCAUUAUAAGUCAGAACAGUGGUAACCUUUGGAGAGAAGGAGGAGCAUGAUAAACUGGAAUAUUCAGUGGGUUUCUUGGGAGCUGAUAAUGCUCUAUUCUUUAACCUGAGUGGCACUUACACAGGUACAUUCAUUUUGUGAUAGCUCACUGGACUAUAUACUUAUGAUCUAUGUAAUUCUCUGUAUAUAUGCAAUACUUCAUUUAAAGGUUUUAGAAAUCUAUUGGAGAAAAAGAAAAAAAAAACACUGCCUCCUGUUCCAACUAUAUGUUUCAAUCACCAGAGCAGGUCAGACACAAUAGCUGUACAGAUGCUUAGGUAGCACUGAAACGCUACUGGACAAAGAAACAUGGCUUACAAGUGUUCACAUGGUCUCCUUACACUGGCUCAAAGACCCAGCUGGCUCUAAUACAUUAAACUUAAAAGGUCACCAGGCCUGGUGACCACCUCACAGAAGAAAUAGAUUCUAGAUACACCCAGAGAAGUUUAUCUCAGAACUAUCAGGUCAGGAAAAUGAGGUUGUGAAGUCAGAACUGUAAAACAAUUCUGUUCUCUAGCAACUGCCUUAUGUUGGUCUCUUUCCUGCUCCUAUUCUCUCUUAAGUCUUGUAAAAGUGGUUUUACUCACAGGACAAGUGGUUCUCUAUACUAGGCGGCUUAGAUUUAGGUUUCCCUAAAGAUGGGAUGAAUUGAUUGCAUAUAUAUUUGCAGCUCUAUUGCUUUUUAAUACCCAAUAGCAAAGAAUUCUAUUCCCGAAUCCUAGAACUUCAAUCUUCAUGAGACAGCGAAAGGGCAUUUUGACCCUCCCAAUCAAAGUCGAAGAAUAUUUAUUCCACCUCCUUCAUAUUUUCCUCUUCUUGUCCUUGAAAUCUUAAUUAAAACUUCCUAAAUUCAUUUCCUCUAAGUAAACCACAGUAGCCAGAACCCUUAUUAGCGCUGAGAACUUUCCUUGGCACAGGUAUAAUUGCUCCUCUGUCAGUGUCCGGUGGAAGCUAACCUGAGUGGCAUGUUUUCAUAAGCUUUGGUGGUUGAGAGGAUGCCACCAGGAUGGCAAGAAGGGGAUGUGUCAAACACUUCACCUUGAAAGGAGCACAGGCCUUGAAAUCAGGCAGACUGAAGCUCCAGCACAGUGCCCAGCACUCACUAGAUGCUCGACCUUAAACAAAUUACUUAAUAUAGUUUAGAAUCAGUUCCUAAAUUAUAAAAUAAAUAAAAUAGUGUUUAUCUGGUAGAAUGGCAUAAAGUAAGAAGAGGAGGAGGAAGAGGAGGAAGAGGAGGAUGAGGAGGAGGAGGAAGGAAGAAGACCAUAAAUAGCACUGCUGUGUGCCUGGCAUUGUUCUGUGCGCUAUAUAUAUGUUGACUUAUUUCUAUGUAAGUGUCACAGCAAUCCUAGAACAUAGGCUCUGUUCAUAUCACCAGUUUAUAAAUGAGGAGCCCAGGCAUAGAGAAGUGAAGGAACUUGCCCGAGGUCAGAUGGCUACAAAGUGGUGGAGGGAGGACACUGAUCCAAGCAGUUUGGCCACAGGGUCCACGUUCUUAUGCACAACACCCAACUGGUUUCUUGCCCCUAGAGUAGAGGCAAUCAAGCAUGGAUGACUCACUUCAAGUAAUGCUUCUUUCAUCCCCUUUCUCACAAAGCUCAAUGGCACAUCUAAUUUUUAGGUUUAGGAAGAGAGAAAUUAAGAAGAUCCUUGUGUGUUUCUCUCAUUUAAUAGCACCCCCUGUAUCUUACUUUCACCUCCUCAGUGAACGACUUAGAGAAUAGGGCUGCUUUGGUAAGUUCUUUACUCAACAUGCACAUGAUGAGCACCUAUGGCACGCCAAGCACUAUCGUAGGUAAAAAAGGAGCCAAGGGGCCACGCCAGUUUCUUCUCCACUCUCCCUCUCUCACUGGAAUCAUAAGUC
RNAcentral lists this long non-coding RNA (4270 nucleotides) under Papio anubis (olive baboon). RNAcentral's name for it is "lncRNA (ENSPANG00000049836.1)". The record is from RNAcentral. Lineage: Eukaryota; Metazoa; Chordata; Mammalia; Primates; Cercopithecidae.